GAUGAACGCUAGCGGCAGGCCUAACACAUGCAAGUCGAGGGAGAAGCCCUUCGGGGCGGAAACCGGCGCACGGGUGCGUAACGCGUAUGCAACCUACCUUUCACAGGGGGAUAGCCCGAAGAAAUUUGGAUUAAUACCCCAUAAUAUUAUUGGGUGGCAUCAUUUGAUAAUUAAAAUUACGAUGGUGAAAGAUGGGCAUGCGUCCUAUUAGCUAGUUGGAGUGGUAACGGCACCCCAAGGCUACGAUAGGUAGGGGUCCUGAGAGGGAGAUCCCCCACACUGGUACUGAGACAGGGACCAGACUCCUACGGGAGGCAGCAGUGAGGAAUAUUGGUCAAUGGUCGGAAGACUGAACCAGCCAUGCCGCGUGCAGGAAGAAUGCCUUAUGGGUUGUAAACUGCUUUUAUAUGGGAAGAAUAAGGUGUACGUGUACA
RNAcentral lists this ribosomal RNA (434 nucleotides) under Capnocytophaga granulosa. Its description in RNAcentral is "bacterial SSU rRNA". It matches the Rfam family "Bacterial small subunit ribosomal RNA", at positions 28 to 465 of the family's 1533-position model. The record is from RNAcentral. Lineage: Bacteria; Pseudomonadati; Bacteroidota; Flavobacteriia; Flavobacteriales; Flavobacteriaceae.